This is a long non-coding RNA of Felis catus (domestic cat), 2028 nucleotides long. RefSeq lists it as uncharacterized. NCBI's taxonomy places the organism in Eukaryota, Metazoa, Chordata, Mammalia, Carnivora, Felidae. The transcript is spliced from 4 exons. The record is from RefSeq and is a predicted model, not a curated record.
ACUCUGAGUCCUAAUAGUAACUGAUCUAUUUUCCCCAUUUUCUGCUUCCAUGAAGGAAUCCAGUUUACUCAGUAUAUACAUAGACUGUUAUUUAUUUUCAACUCCAGUGUAUUUAUGCAAUGAGCUACAGAGCAAAAGAAAGCCACCGUGUCCUCGCGGAAAAUGCAUUCUGUUCUUCUUCCACUGUGGGGAUGGGGCGAUCCACAGUUGUGCUGGCUUAAUCAUGCCUGCACCUGGCAAUCAAUCACUCUUCUGGAGACUGCAUCCCAUCAGGCAAUGGCACAAAGAGGACUCUUGCCAGGUAGAAUCAGGGGCAGAAAAUGCAAUUCCAGUCUCUGACAGUGAUUGAACAUAGAUAUGCCAGGGCUUUGCUUGGUAUCCCUGGACCCGAAACGUGCACAGAAAAGUUGCCAAAUGCAUGGCUCAUACUUCCUUCUGAACAAGACUGCCAUGCUAUUUUAAAGUUCUUACUACACAAUUUAUCCACAGCUAAUACAUGGAAAACAAAACUAGAGUUAUAUGUUCUCUGGGGGACGUAUAUUACAAUACGAGAGGUAGACUGCAAGUAGACAGUUCAGUGACAAAGAAUUGGGCCCUGAAUGCCCCACCCAGUGCAAGAGUUUUCUAAGAGGAGAAAAAUUUUCACAAAUUUAAGCCUCUCCUCCUGUAUGUACAUCAUCCCUCAACUGCCCACCUCAUUUUGUCCCCUCCCCAAAAGAAUUCAUGGAAACCUUGGUCCAAUCUAAAUAGAUCCUUCCUGGCUCACAAAAUCACAGGAUGUUGGCAUAGGAAAGCUCCAUGAGCAAUUUUACUUCAUCCUCUUGUAGGACUGGAAAACUAAGCACAAGAAUGGUGAAACUAUUUAUCCAGGUUCAAACAGCUAGUAAGUAUGGGAUUCGGGAUUAGAACCCCCACCUCACAUCUCCUGGUCCAGGGCCUUUCUCUUGUUUACAAACACUUUUCCAGUCAUAUUCAGAUUCCUGAAUGUUGGUAGACAUUUUAUCAACUGAAUCCAUUAGGUAUUAACUACAAUUCUAAAUUUUAACACUGCUGAAAAGACACGUAAGAGGCAACCUCAGUGCUCUGUUUGAAGAGAAGCAAAGAGUGCUCCUUAAUUCUGUUAUGAAUUGCAUCCUUUAUACUUGCAGAUCUUCCCCAAGCAAAGAUUUGUUGGCUGAUAAUCUGGAAUGAGAAGUAUUGCCUUGUCAAAAGAAGAAAUUUAUCAUGGAGAGAGGGAUAUAGUAAUUACAGAGCUACACAUAAAUGACAGUUGUGUGAAGACUGUUAAGGAAAUUGGAAAUCACUCCAAGGCCUAAUAGAUACACCUAACAUAAUCAUCUGGGAAUAAAAGGAACAGAAAGGGGGAUAUUUGCAGCUAUUACACUUGACAGCUAUAAGGGCCUCUGAGCUUCAUAAGAAUCCAGCAAGUUCGGCAGGGCUGGGGAAAGGAUCAUUUUCCUUGUUUUGCACACGAGGAAACACUCAGCUCUAAGUGGCCUACAUUAAGUCAUAUGGAUUUCAAGCUGCAGAGCCAAGACCAGAAUUCAGGCCUUCUGACUGCAAGCCAGUGCCUUUUCAGCUCUGCCAGAAAGCAAAUCAGCGGGGAGGCUGCUGAACAGCUUCUGAGUUGUCAGAAAGCAGAGUUUGCAAGUGGCUUCUGAAGCAGUACAGGUGACAGCAGUAGUUUCCAGGCAUUCUGGAGAUACCAGUGCUCUUUCAAACCAGUCAGUGAUUUAUCUACAAUGGUUAACCUGGAUAUUCAUAACAGACCAUUAAAUAUCAGUGCAAAGAGCACUGGGCCAUGCACUACGCAGUCACUCAAGUGCACAUGGAGGGGACUGCUUUGCAGCUGCCAUGCCACAAGCCAGAGCACUCUCAGGUAUGUCCAUGUCCCUGGGCCCUCAUGGGCCAAUUUACUGCAAAUAACCUCACUGUGCUUUAUAUGCAAAAUCCUAGGCUCUGGCCUCCAAGCUGACAGUAUUAGCUGAGUAAGGCAGAUAUUGAGAAUCAGUAGCAGAAGGAUCCUUA